This is a long non-coding RNA of Homalodisca vitripennis (glassy-winged sharpshooter), 2048 nucleotides long. RefSeq lists it as uncharacterized. The transcript has 2 exons. The record is from RefSeq and is a predicted model, not a curated record. NCBI's taxonomy places the organism in Eukaryota, Metazoa, Arthropoda, Insecta, Hemiptera, Cicadellidae.
UCACAAGGGGAUAUGAGAUGUGAAAAAAUUUUGCAACAUCUCAUAUUUGGUCUUGGCCCUGAAAGGGUUAAUAACAUGAAACUCGUAUUUGGCUGGGUCAGCCGUUAACUUCAUGAUUACCCAAAGGGGUAGUAUUGGUUGCAGUAACAGGUAAUUCAGUGGUAACAUUUUACCAGGAUGCAGUUAUUUUAGUAAUAGCUGAGCUGAAUGAUUUUUUGCUGUUUUCAUAAUGAUUUUCUGGUUUUAGGUCACUCAGUAAUGGCUGAGGGCAUUACGUGCAAGUAAAUGAGGCUGAAAUGAAAAGGAAAUAUUACACAAUGGAAUGUUAUUAUGCGAUAUGAGUAAGUUUAUAUUAGGUUAUCGUUAAUAUUUUUUUUUUCCGCCAGAUGUGUCGGGUGGUGCAAAAGGCGUCACCUGAAAUAUUUCCCUGACCUCAAAUCACAUCCUAUAUUGUAAAUGUGAACUGGCGUCAGAAAAGCUGAAUGAUUUGGGACGUGAUCUGAGGUUGGGAAAAUUUUUAUCAGAAAUGCCCCUGGCUAUCAGUGAGCUUCUGUAGCGUUGCCCUUUGGUGAAAUAAGAAAACCAUCUCACGAAAUAGCACUAAAUUCAAACUCAGAUCACGGGAGCGGUUGUUAAGUUUAUGUUUCGCUUUCUAUAUUUAUAAUACAUAAGUAUGUAUACCUAACAAAUAGUAGGUAAUUACCUGGUAGUAUCCAAUAAUCCUGUUGUAUAGUAAAAAUUUGAAUUAACCCGGUUAUAAUUUUGUUAGUUUAAAUAUUAGUCUUAAGUUACAUUGUAGCGAGUUAGUUAAAUUUUUGUUUACAUUUAUGAUACCACGGUUUCUAAUAAGUUAUUGACUUAUUAUACUAAAUAAUUAUGUGCAAGUCUGCAUUAGUACGCUGUUUAGUACGUUCAUUUUUUGUUUGGCAACAAUCUGAACAGUUGUCAUAAUUCUGGCAAUUAUUACUCUUGUGUUUAGCUUGCGAUUUAUACGAAUGACAUUGCCAAACUCUGAGCAGUUGUCAUAAAUUUGGAUGUAAUACUAAAUAAUUAUGUGCCAGUCUGCAUUAUUUCUUUUUUUGUACGCUAGAGUCUAACCAUUUGUAACAUACCUAACAAUUGUUACCAUUGUCUUAAAGUAGCCAUAUGUAUUAUAUUACUGAGAUUGGCAAACUGUGAAUAGUUGUAGAAUUGACUAUAAUACUGUAUAGUUAAAUUGUUAUUUUGCAUAAUUUCCUUUUGAAUACCUUGAAAUCAGAGCAGUUGAUUUGCGUUACUUUAGUUUGCAGGUUGCCAUUUAUAUAACAGACAUUGCCAAACCAUGAGCAGAUGUCAUAAAUUUGAUUGUAAUACUGUAAAGUUAAGUUGCUGUAAUUCUACAUAAUUUGUUUUUGUUUGGGCAAAAAUCCUAAGAGUUUUCAUAUUACUGGCACUUAUUACUCUUGUGUUUAGCUUGCAAUUUAUACAAACGACAUUGCCAAACUCUGAGCAGUUGUCAUAAUUUUGAUUGUAAUACUAAAUAAUUAUGUGCAAGUCUGCAUUAGUACGCUCUUUAGUAUGUUUAUUUAUUGUUUGGGCAACAAUCUGAACAGUUGUCACAAUUCUGGUAAUUAUUACUCUUGUGUUUAGCUUGCGAUUUAUACGAAUGACAUUGCCAAACUCUGAGCAGUUGUCAUAAUUUUGAAUGUAAUAGUAAAUAAUUAUGUGCAAGUCUGCAUUAGUACGCUCUUUAGUAUGUUUAUUUAUUGUUUGGGCAACAAUCUGAACAGUUGUAAUAAUUCUGGCAAUUAUUACUCUUGUGUUUAGCUUGCGAUUUAUACGAAUGACAUUGCCAAACUCUGAGCAGUUGUCAUAAUAUUGAAUGUAAUACUAAAUAAUUAUGUGCAAGUCUGCAUUAGUACGCUCUUUAGUAUGUUUAUUUAUUGUUUGGGCAACAAUCUGAACAGUUGUAAUAAUUCUGGCAAUUAUUACUCUUGUGUUUAGCUUGCGAUUUAUACGAAUGACAUUGCCAAACUCUGAGCAGUUGUCAUAAUUUUGAAUGUAAUACU